GUCUUUCUAUAACCUUUUCCCAACCGCAAUUGUGAAUAAGAUAUGUCAAUUCAAAGUUGGGGAAGUCUUCUAACUUAACUGGCCUCUCGGGAAUGAUUGCCCAAUCACGCACAACGUUGGCGUAUCGGGCUGCCGUAUCUGAUGAUAGGAAUCUUCGAACACCCCCUUCGGGUUCUCUUGUUCGGGCCGUUCCAGAUGAGGAGCUGACUUUCUCUUUUCCCUUUGAAGUUCUUUUAGGAGGCAUCCUGCAAAAGGAAAUACAUAAUAUCACUUACUUGGUGUA
RNAcentral lists this long non-coding RNA (283 nucleotides) under Olea europaea (common olive). RNAcentral's name for it is "long non-coding RNA (OEUR_LNC010868)". The record is from RNAcentral. Lineage: Eukaryota; Viridiplantae; Streptophyta; Magnoliopsida; Lamiales; Oleaceae.